This 28-nucleotide non-coding RNA is filed under the name Rattus norvegicus (Norway rat). The record is from RNAcentral. Lineage: Eukaryota; Metazoa; Chordata; Mammalia; Rodentia; Muridae.
UGGCUAGUCCCAGUAAGGAAGGAACUGC